ACUCAAAGGAAUAGACGGGGGCCCGCACAAGCGGAGGAACAUGUGGUUUAAUUCGAUGAUACGCGAGGAACCUUACCCGGGCUUGAAUUGCAGAGGAACAUAGUUGAAAGAUUAUGGCCGCAAGGUCUCUGUGAAGGUGCUGCAUGGUUGUCGUCAGCUCGUGCCGUGAGGUGUCGGCUUAAGUGCCAUAACGAGCGCAACCCUUAUCAUUAGUUACUAACAGGUCAUGCUGAGGACUCUAGUGAGACUGCCGUCGUAAGAUGUGAGGAAGGUGGGGAUGACGUCAAAUCAGCACGGCCCUUACGUCCGGGGCUACACACGUGUUACAAUGGGGGGUACAGAGGGCAGCUACCGGGCGACCGGAUGCCAAUCCCAAAAACCUCUCUCAGUUCGGAUCGAAGUCUGCAACCCGACUUCGUGAAGCUGGAUUCGCUAGUAAUCGCGCAUCAGCCACGGCGCGGUGAAUACGUUCCCGGGCCUUGUACACACCGCCCGU
Molecule: ribosomal RNA, 496 nt
Filed under: uncultured archaeon
Lineage: Archaea
Description: bacterial SSU rRNA
Rfam family: Bacterial small subunit ribosomal RNA
Source: RNAcentral